RNAcentral lists this ribosomal RNA (249 nucleotides) under uncultured bacterium. RNAcentral's name for it is "partial 16S ribosomal RNA". It matches the Rfam family "Bacterial small subunit ribosomal RNA", at positions 15 to 244 of the family's 1533-position model. The record is from RNAcentral.
GAUCCUGGCUCAGGAUGAACGCUGGCGGCGUGCUUAAUACAUGCAAGUCGAACGAAGCACCUUGGACAGAAUCCUUCGGGAGGAAGACCAUUGUGACUGAGUGGCGGACGGGUGGGUAACGCGUGGGUAACCCGCCUUGUACAGGGGGAUAACAGUUGGAAACGACUGCUAAUACCGCAUAAGCGCACAGUACCGCAUGGUACGGUGUGAAAAACUCCGGUGGUACAAGAUGGACCCGCGUCUGAUUAG